Molecule: ribosomal RNA, 534 nt
Filed under: uncultured Mycobacterium sp.
Lineage: Bacteria; Bacillati; Actinomycetota; Actinomycetes; Mycobacteriales; Mycobacteriaceae
Description: bacterial SSU rRNA
Rfam family: Bacterial small subunit ribosomal RNA
Source: RNAcentral
CAUGCAAGUCGAACGGAAAGGCCCUUCGGGGUGCUCGAGUGGCGAACGGGUGAGUAACACGUGGGUGAUCUGCCCUGCACUUUGGGAUAAGCCUGGGAAACUGGGUCUAAUACCGAAUAGGACUCCGGACUGCAUGGUCUGGGGUGGAAAGCCUUUGCGGUGUGGGAUGGGCCCGCGGCCUAUCAGCUUGUUGGUGGGGUGAUGGCCUACCAAGGCGACGACGGGUAGCCGGCCUGAGAGGGUGACCGGCCGCACUGGGACUGAGAUACGGCCCAGACUCCUACGGGAGGCAGCAGUGGGAAUAUUGCACAAUGGGCGCAAGCCUGAUGCAGCGACGCCGCGUGGGGGAUGACGGCCUUCGGGUUGUAAACCUCUUUCAGCACAGACGAAGCGUAAGUGACGGUAUGUGCAGAAGAAGCACCGGCCAACUACGUGCCAGCAGCCGCGGUAAUACGUAGGGUGCGAGCGUUGUCCGGAAUUACUGGGCGUAAAGAGCUCGUAGGUGGUUUGUCGCGUUGUUCGUGAAAACUCACA